UUUUGGACGAUGGGGGCAACCCUGAUCCAGCAAUGCCGCGUGAGUGAAGAAGGCCUUCGGGUUGUAAAGCUCUUUUGUCAGCGACCCCCCCACCGGCUCUAACACAGUCCGGGAAUGACGGUACCUGAAGAAUAAGCACCGGCUAACUACGUGCCAGCAGCCGCGGUAAUACGUAGGGUGCAAGCGUUAAUCGGAAUUACUGGGCGUAAAGCGUGCGCAGGCGGUUAUACAAGACAGGCGUGAAAUCCCCGGGCUUAACCUGGGAAUGCCGCCUGUGACUGUAUAGCUAGAGUGUGUCAGAGGGGGGUAGAAUUCCACGUGUAGCAGUGAAAUGCGUAGAUAUGUGGAGGAAUACCAAUGGCGAAGGCAGCCCCCUGGGAUAACACUGACGCUCAUGCACGAA
This 403-nucleotide ribosomal RNA is filed under the name uncultured bacterium. RNAcentral's name for it is "bacterial SSU rRNA". It matches the Rfam family "Bacterial small subunit ribosomal RNA", at positions 362 to 757 of the family's 1533-position model. The record is from RNAcentral.